Molecule: ribosomal RNA, 1635 nt
Filed under: metagenome
Description: bacterial LSU rRNA
Rfam family: Bacterial large subunit ribosomal RNA
Source: RNAcentral
GCCCUAGUGAAGGUGAAGCGCGAGCUUUGCUGAGCGGUUAGAAAAGCAAAUGUAGGUAUAAGUAACGAUAAGGCUGGUGAGAGACCAGCCCGCCGAUAGUCUAAGGUUUCCUGAUCAACGUUAAUCGGAUCAGGGUUAGUCGGGUCCUAAGUCGAAGCCGAAGGGCGUAGACGAUGGCCAAUUGGUUAAUAUUCCAAUACUAGUAUACAGUGCUAUGGGGUGACCCAGUAGUGAAAGAUCCGCGUACUGACGGAAGUACGUUAAAGACCGUAGAUAUAGGUUGCGUAGGUAAAUCCGCGCGAUUUGUCGAAAGUCGAUAGUACACUGAGUCUUCGGACAAGGUGAUAGUGAUCCUAAUCAGACUGGCAAGAAAAACCUCUAUGCUUCAGCUGUAUACUACCCGUACCGUAAACCGACACAGGUAGACAAGUAGAGUAUACUAAGGCGCUAGGGUGAGCCGUGGCUAAGGAACUAGGCAAAUUAACCCCGUAACUUCGAGAAAAGGGGUGCCCCCUUCGGGGGGCCGCAGAGAAAUGGGAGCGGCGACUGUUUAUCAAAAACACAUGGCUUUGCAAAAUCGAAAGAUGAAGUAUAAGGCCUGACACCUGCCCGGUGCUGGAAGGUUAAGAGGAGAGGUUAAUCGCAAGAUGAAGCUUUGAGUCGAAGCCCCAGUAAACGGCGGCCGUAACAAUAACGGUCCUAAGGUAGCGAAAUUCCUUGUCGGGUAAGUUCCGACCUGCACGAAUGGUGUAACGAUCGCUCCACUGUCUCAGCCACGAGCCCUGUGAAAUUGGAGUAACGGUGAAGAUACCGUUUACCCGCAACGGGACGGAAAGACCCCGUGCACCUUUACUAUAGCUUUACAUUGAACUUGGGUAAAUAAUGUGUAGGAUAGCUGGGAGACUUUGAAGUGGUGUCGCUAGGCAUCAUGGAGUCAACGUUGAAAUACCAGCCUUUGUUUACUUGAGUUCUAACUCCUCAUGGGAGGACAUUGUAUGGUGGGUAGUUUGACUGGGGUGGUCGCCUCCAAAAGAGUAUCGGAGGCUUUCAAAGGUACACUCAACACGCUUGGUAACCGUGUGUAGAGCGCAUUAGCAUAAGUGUGCUUGACUGUGAGGCCGACAAGCCGAGCAGGUACGAAAGUAGGAUAAAGUGAUCCGGUGGUUCCGCAUGGAAGGGCCAUCGCUCAUAGGAUAAAAGGUACGCCGGGAUAACAGGCUGAUCACUCCCAAGAGCUCACAUCGACGGAGUGGUUUGGCACCUCGAUGUCGGCUCGUCACAUCCUGGGGCUGGAGAAGGUCCCAAGGGUUCGGCUGUUCGCCGAUUAAAGUGGCACGCGAGCUGGGUUCAGAACGUCGUGAGACAGUUCGGUCCCUAUCUGUUGUGGGCGUAGGAGAUUUGAGGGGACCUAACUCUAGUACGAGAGGACCGAGUUGGACAUACCGCUAGUGUGCCUGUUGUGCCGCCAAGGUGCAGCGCAGGGUAGCUAUGUAUGGAUGAGAUAAGCGCUGAAAGCAUAUAAGUGCGAAGCUCGCCUCAAGAUGAGAUCUCCCUUAGGAGCCGUAACAGACUAUUACGUUGAUAGGCUACAGGUGUAAAGGCAGUAAUGUCACAGCCGAGUAGUACUAAUUGCAC